Non-coding RNA from Mus musculus (house mouse), 302 nucleotides. Lineage: Eukaryota; Metazoa; Chordata; Mammalia; Rodentia; Muridae. The record is from the annotation of a RefSeq genome assembly.
CAGGUCCAGCUGCAGCAGUCUGGAGCUGAGCUGGUGAAACCCGGGGCAUCAGUGAAGCUGUCCUGCAAGGCUUCUGGCUACACCUUCACUGAGUAUACUAUACACUGGGUAAAGCAGAGGUCUGGACAGGGUCUUGAGUGGAUUGGGUGGUUUUACCCUGGAAGUGGUAGUAUAAAGUACAAUGAGAAAUUCAAGGACAAGGCCACAUUGACUGCGGACAAAUCCUCCAGCACAGUCUAUAUGGAGCUUAGUAGAUUGACAUCUGAAGACUCUGCGGUCUAUUUCUGUGCAAGACACGAAGA